RNAcentral lists this ribosomal RNA (1570 nucleotides) under metagenome. RNAcentral describes it as "bacterial LSU rRNA". It matches the Rfam family "Bacterial large subunit ribosomal RNA", at positions 1372 to 2925 of the family's 2925-position model. The record is from RNAcentral.
CUUCAGGGUUAGUCGGGACCUAAGCCGAGGCCGCAAGGCGUAGGCGAUGGACAACAGGUUGAUAUUCCUGUACCACGUCCCCACCGCUAUCACCGAUGGCGGGACGGGGUAGGCUACGGAAACCCGGUUAUUGGAUUCCGGGGUAACCGCGUAGGGCGGGCGAUAGGGAAAUCCGUCGCCCAUUCAAAGCCUGAGACGGGAUGCCGAGCUCGAACAGAGCGAAGUUCCUUAAGCCAUGCCUCCUAGAAAAGGGUCUAGGGAGGUGGGACGUGCCCGUACCAAAACCGACACAGGUGGGCAGGUAGAGAAUACUAAGGCGAUCGGAAGAACCCUCGUUAAGGAACUCGGAAAAAUGGUCCCGUAACUUCGGGAGAAGGGACGCCCCGGUAGGGUGAAGGCCUUUUACAGGCCCAGCCCGAGGGGGCCGCAGUGAAACGGCCCAAGCGACUGUUUACCAAAAACACAGGUCUCUGCGAAGUCGUAAGACGACGUAUAGGGGCUGACGCCUGCCCGGUGCCGGAAGGUCACGAGGAGAGGUUAGUCUUCGGACGAAGCUUUGAAUCCAAGCCCCGGUAAACGGCGGCCGUAACUAUAACGGUCCUAAGGUAGCGAAAUUCCUUGUCGGGUAAGUUCCGACCUGCACGAAUGGCGUAACGACUUGGGCGCUGUCUCAACGAGGGAUCCGGUGAAAUUGUAGUCUCGGUGAAGAUGCCGAGUACCCGUGGUUGGACGGAAAGACCCCGUGAACCUUUACUGCAGCUUGAUAUUGGAGUUUGGGGUGCGUUGUCCAGGAUAGGUGGGAGGCUUUGAAGCGGGGGCGCCAGCUCUCGUGGAGCCAACCUUGGGAUACCACCCUUCGCAUUCUGGGCUUCUAACCCGACGCCGUGAUCCGGGUCGGGAACAGUGUCAGGUGGGCAGUUUGACUGGGGCGGUCGCCUCCUAAAUUGUAACGGAGGCGCACAAAGGUUCCCUCAGCACGGUUGGAAAUCGUGCGUAGAGCGCAAAGGCAUAAGGGAGCUUGACUGCGAGACAGACAGGUCGAGCAGGUGCGAAAGCAGGUCUUAGUGAUCCGGCGGUUAAGAGUGGAAUUGCCGUCGCUCAACGGAUAAAAGGUACUCCGGGGAUAACAGGCUUAUCCUUCCCAAGAGUCCACAUCGACGGAAGGGUUUGGCACCUCGAUGUCGGCUCGUCGCAUCCUGGGGCUGGAGCAGGUCCCAAGGGUCGGGCUGUUCGCCCGUUAAAGCGGUACGCGAGCUGGGUUCAGAACGUCGUGAGACAGUUCGGUCCCUAUCCACCAUGGGCGCUGGAAGCUUGAGAGGAGUCGUCUCUAGUACGAGAGGACCGAGACGAACAGACCGCUGGUGUAUCAGUCGUCGUGCCAACGGCGCUGCUGAUUAGCUACGUCUGGAUGGGAUAACCGCUGAAAGCAUCUAAGCGGGAAGCCCACCUCAAGAUGAGGCUUCCCAUCCCCUCGAGGGAGUAAGGGCCGUGGGAGACCACCACGUUGAUAGGCGGGACGUGCAAGCGCAGCAAUGCGUUCAGCGGACCCGUACUAAUUGCCCGAGGUCUC